Molecule: non-coding RNA, 83 nt
Filed under: uncultured Vexilliferidae
Lineage: Eukaryota; Discosea; Flabellinia; Dactylopodida; Vexilliferidae
Source: RNAcentral
AUAUGGUACAGGUAUGGUUGGUGGUGAUAUUGUUAUUGAUGAACUCGGAGUGGCUGGGAUGACUGUUAAAUCUCAAGGGUUUG